CGGACGGGUGAGUAACGCGUGGGUAACCUGCCCUGUACAGGGGGAUAACAGUCAGAAAUGACUGCUAAUACCGCAUAAGACCACAGCACCGCAUGGUGCAGGGGUAAAAACUCCGGUGGUACAGGAUGGACCCGCGUCUGAUUAGCUGGUUGGUGAGGUAGCGGCUCACCAAGGCGACGAUCAGUAGCCGGCUUGAGAGAGUGAACGGCCACAUUGGGACUGAGACACGGCCCAAACUCCUACGGGAGGCAGCAUG
RNAcentral lists this ribosomal RNA (256 nucleotides) under uncultured bacterium. RNAcentral describes it as "partial 16S ribosomal RNA". It matches the Rfam family "Bacterial small subunit ribosomal RNA", at positions 99 to 353 of the family's 1533-position model. The record is from RNAcentral.